This 480-nucleotide long non-coding RNA is filed under the name Marmota monax (woodchuck). Lineage: Eukaryota; Metazoa; Chordata; Mammalia; Rodentia; Sciuridae. The record is from RNAcentral.
AAUCCAUCCCAUUAAUUCCUGAUCUUAAUUCUUGCACUAUAGGAGUCUUAUUAAGGAAGUUGGGGCCUAAUCCAACAUGAUGAAGAUUAGGACCUAUUUUUUCUUCUAUUAGACUCAAUGUCUAUGGUUUAAUUCCUAGGUCCUUGAUCCAUUUUGAGUUUAGUUUUGUGCAAGGUGAGAGAUAGGGGUUUAAUUUCAUUUUGUUGCAUAUAGAUUUCCAGUCUUCCCAGCACCAUUUGUUGAAGAGGCUAUCUUUUCUCCAAUGCAUGUUUUUGGCCCCUUUGUCUAAUAUAAGAUAAUUGUAGUUUUGUGGAUUAGUCUCUAUGUCCUCUAUUCUGUACCAUUGGUCUACCAGUCUGUUUUGGUGCUAAUACCAUGCUGUUUUUGUUACUAUUGCUCUGUAGUAUAGUUUAAGGUCUGGUAUAGUGAUGCCACCUGCUUCAAUCUUCCUGCUAAGGAUUGCUUUAGCAAUUCUGGGUC